GCGGGCGCGCCUGAGUGCGUCCGACUCGGGAUCAGCGAGUUCCGAAGGCACCGGUCUCCAAAACCGGCGAUUCCAGGUUCGAGUCCUGGGUGCCCCGCU
This 99-nucleotide transfer RNA is filed under the name Actinomycetota bacterium. Its description in RNAcentral is "tRNA-Trp". Lineage: Bacteria; Bacillati; Actinomycetota. The record is from RNAcentral.